Molecule: non-coding RNA, 20 nt
Filed under: Drosophila ananassae
Lineage: Eukaryota; Metazoa; Arthropoda; Insecta; Diptera; Drosophilidae
Also listed under: 9 other names
Source: RNAcentral
CCUGAGACCCUAACUUGUGA